CGGGGUGCCUCCGACGGGUUACUUCUCCCGGCUCCGGGUGUGUGAAAAAGAUUCCUAGGAUCGAGCGUCAGAGGCAGACGUGAUUGGGUUUUCUGAUGCCUCCUCCUCAUGACCUUGUUCGACGCAUUCAGAUCCACCAAGAGCCGGAAGGUCUCCGCUUGAAGCUGUUGAGCACGAACGUCUAAAGCCGCCCGCUCUGCUGCCAUCCUGACUUCCUCUGCGGCUAGAUUUUUCUUAGCUUGCAUCAUCUCUUCACGACGGUAGUCUAGGUCGUUCGGAAAACCUGAGCCGUGGCGACACGAGAAACCAGAUUUCUGCGGCGGCUUGUGCUUCCUCUGGCGGCGGAGCAAUGGAAGCCGACGGGUUGGAGUUCCCGGCAGAUCCCGUGGACCGGUAUGCUCGUAAUCGGCACUACAGUGGGUGGAGAAAAUUCAGAAGAUGAGACCCCAAACAAUAGGGGAUUGUUGCUAGGAGGUCGAACAUGCGAUCAUGAAGCUCAGGCGGCAGCAAGCCGUGAAGUUGUUCUAAGUAUGAGGUUGAAAACUUGUGCCAUGUUUACAGAUGUAGUGCCAUACUGUCCAGCUGAGCAACCAUCGCAGACUAAUGAUGAGCGGGUGAGUAAGUACAAGGAAAUGUAUUAUGCUGCCGGCCGUCAGUUGUCGGUAUACUGACAUGAUGGUAAAAUGCAAGUAAUGCUGAUGGUGGAACAAGGGUUGGCGGUGGUACUGAGGCUGCACAAGUUGAAUGUUCAACAUCACUGGCAAGAGACAUGGUUAGGGAUCAUGGUCUUGCCACAGGGUUGUGUGGCCAGCCUGGGAUUGCUGAGUACAUGGAGAAGUGCAGAAUUCCGUACAAGGUCAUUUCCAAAGGAAGGGAGCAGGAUAGGGUGAGUGGUGCUGGGAAUCCGCCAGGUGAUCCGGCGGUGAAGAGUGAGUGGGGAGAGAUGUUCCGUCAUUCCGUCGGACUAAACCAUGACCAGCUCUCGCUUCAGGAUGUUCUUCGGUUCUAUGACAACAUGCUGGGCUGUUCUAGGGAACUGCGGAAGAAAUGGUUUAGGUACUUCAAUCCGUUUGCGGUGGUGAUGUCCAAGCAAGACCUGAAGGAUGAACUAGGACUUGGUGGUGAGUUAUCAAUGACUGGCUGGAGGUGCAUCCAUGGCAUGAUAAGUGCCAAGAAAUGAAGAUGUAUCGCAUGUGGCUCGAUAGAUGGAGAGGGGUUUUCGAUCCAUGCUUCGUGAUGUUCAUCCCCCUUGUUCCACUGGAGGAAGGAUGGUUGCCGCUAAUGUGGGACAUGAUGUCGAAGAAGUUGCCGAUGACACGGCAUUACGACGGCAUAAAACUGAAGCUUCCCCUGACGAAGCACAAUAUGAACAAGCUUAAGAGACAAGCCCUCCACGAGUGUCUGAAGUUACAAGGAAACACAUCCACGCUGGCGCACAAGGCAUUGUGGGCAGUCGUAGCACCUAGUGACUCUUGCUUCAGAAAAAAAACCUUCUACGAGAGAGCCGUCCUGGAAGUAGGCGAUUCUCUUGUGCGCCUUACCUAAUGUACUAUCUUAGGCAUUACUACGAUCUCCGCUGACCAUCAUUUUGAAGAUGUAUGAAUCAUUUCAGCAUAGUAUAUGGCGUUUCGCUCACUUUGUAGCUUGUUUCUUAGAUCCAUGUAAGGAGCAAUCAUUGUUUUACAUUCAUCCUUCAGUGUAGUCUGUAUGAAUGUCAGCUUGGGAUAGCCUAAACUCUUUGGCCACAUCGCCACCUUUGUUUGCUUCUCCUUGUAUUCAUCUACUUGCUAUUUAGACAAACCAGUCAGCACUUAAUGAAAUCACAAAAUCUAGGCCUGAACCCAUGUAAGGCGCCCUAUCUAAUGAGCCAGAAAUUCCUUAAUCAGUUAUGAGAGUUGUUGUACUACAGCAAAAUCUUACAGUAUGAGAGUUGUUGUACUACAUCAAAAUCCAACAGUAGAGUUUACUCAAGGAAACAUUUUCGCAUUGAAAAUUCUCCUGCUGCAGGAGAGUUGUUGUACUCACGCGACACUUGCUCCAGCAGCAAUAUGAGAUUUACAAAUUGUAAGGUCAGAAACCCCACACGCAAACUCGUGUGAAAAUGUUGAACCCACUUCCUGCAUCCAAUGCCACAUUUUGGACGCUUUUUGCAAUCGCACGCUUUGUAAUAUGCCCAGCAUGCAAACAACUCUGAUAGUAGACGCUAAUUGCCAUUAUGCGGCAGGAUCAGCAUUUCCGUGUUCUGUUUUUUGAGAAACAUCAGCAUUUCCGUGUAAGCCUGACGGCUCGGGAUGGCACACAAAAAUAACUGGGCCGUGCGCCAGGGCCUGUUCCGGCCGAGAGGAGACGGCUCCUACCGUUUUUAAUGCGACUGAGGCCUACGUUAUGUUUAUGUCGAUACCUUCUGAAUACAGCUGCGAAUACAACUGAAGGGGCACAUCCCGAUGCGUGUGGACGGAUGUUAUAUCGAGUGCAGCUAAGACUGGGCUCAGAUUCGAAUUUUCGGAUCAUGGCCUACUACUUUUUAAAAUAGUGGAGAUAGAUAUAUCAUGGCCUCUCCCUAAAAAAAACAGAUUGUCCAACAUCCUUUUCCCAUUUUUUGUGGGGGCCUUUCCAUUUCCUUUAAAGUAACAGAACUUGGGUAAGAAACAAGAAUGCAUGGAUGUGAGUCGUGCCUGAAAUGGGACGACAUUAACGUCGUCAAGCCUAAGGCACGCUGGAGCGGCUGAGGAGCUUUAUAUUUAAGUCCCUGUAUUUGUUUGGGCUUUUGCGUCUGCUUUUGCAUCUUUUUCACAUUGACAAAAAAAAAACGAAAAAAGCUCCUAAAUAGGUGAUUUUUGCUUCGGCUUUUGGCUUAUACCAUCAUAUAACAAUACUGAUUCGAAGCAAAAAGACUCUAUUUAGGAGUUUUUUUUUGCCAAAGUGGAAACGCUGCAAAAGCAGAAGUAAGAGCCCAAACAAACAGGGCCUAAGAUUAGUUAGAUAAGAGGGAGGAUGCAUGACGUCGCAGUUAGUUGAAAGCUGAACCCAUCAGAAGUCUGGAAUUCUUUGUCAAGAGACCAAGAAUUUGAGGAACACAUUCUUUGCAGGAGCUACGCUCUAGUCGACUGUUCUACGAGACUGCAUAAUAACGCUAACACUCCUACACGAAGUAGUAUAUAAACGGUAAAGCUGUAACUGUUGUGCCCUGUUCUGACUAUAUGGAUAGAACAGAAUGCGUUACACUGCAUCUGUCACUUGUCGGACAAAGCACACACAGUGAUUAGAUAAUGGCAGCUUGAGUGGUCAGGUUAGAUCACCACGGCCUACCGAUUUUUGCAUAGUACGUAUAUCUUGAAACGGUGAUUGUAAAAUGAAGGUAUUGCUACAACCAACGAACUCUCAUGAAUGGGGACUCCCCCACAAAGAGUACAUAUGCAGCGGGGUCAGCUUAGCUCAGCCCGCCGGAACUGGACCAAAUAUGGAGCUCACAAGUCAUUCUUCAUAGAAACGGAAGGCACAUUUGCUGGGAAAGUUGUGACUGGGCACAUUUAUUGCUGUACAAGGACAUAACUAUCAGAAGCUCACAGUUUCAGCAAGAAUGUGCGUAUCUCCAUGGGCCCCAGCUCGACAACAAGGGAUUGACUGUCAACCGGGCUACCGGUAAUUGGGGCAGGACCACUUUCGGUGUCUCCGACAACCCUCCACUUGAGCUUCCUCAUCGCCGCCUUCUUUUGGUUGGCAGACAGCUUGCCCUUUUUUCAUCAUGUCGUUUAAAGCGCCAAUAGUCUGCAACUGGGUCCCUUCCAUUGUUACUGAAGAUAACUUGAAAGAAUUUGUCACCAUUGGAUUUUUGCCAGAGAAAAACAUUCUGUCUUAUCGUGCUCCUGACCGAACGAAGAACGGCCUCAGCCCAAAGACGAUGAAGUUUUCGUCUUUACUGAUCACAUGAAUCGGGGUUUCUCACCACCCGGCUCAAAGUUCUUCAGAGCCAUUAUGCACUUUUUCAAACUUCACCCACAAGAUCUUGGACCCAACUCCAUAUCCAAUAUCUACAAAUUUCAAGUUCUUUGUGAGGUAUAUCUUCAAGAAGAACCGAUUGUGGAGCUCUUCAGAGAGUACUUUUACUUGAACCGCCAGAAUGAGUGUACCAACGACCCUAGCUUGGAACUUGGCGGAAUCUCAAUUCAACGCCGAUAAGCUUACUCCUGCUGAACGCAAGAAGCUUAUCCCAUCUAUCAAAAGGAUUCAAGCUUUAUUGGGAAAUGGCCUAACUGGAGUUGACCUGAUCCGUUGCUAGAUCGCGUGGCGGGUCAUCCCUUUAAGCUGCCGAUCCAAAUUGAUGUAUGAAUAUGGCAGAGGCCCAGAUGAUUCUCUGCGUCAUAGCUCUGUACAAUUAACUGAAGAAGACAUUGUUGCGAUGUCAACCAUCCUCGUGAAGGGCAAAUACGAGGACUGCAGUAAAGUUGGAUUAAACCCCUUCUGCAAACUUAACCCGGCACCAGAAGCCAAAUCUGUUUUCUGGAAAGCCAAGUAUGAUCAUGAAGCUGCCAAGAAGGCUAGAGCCGCUGCCAUGGCCGCCAGGAAAACAACCCGGAAGCCAAAGAAGAAGAAGACUGCAUCUGACUUAUUCCACCUGGAUGAUGCUUCUGAGUCGGAGGACGACACGGGGGCCAGCCAGGCCGUGGAAGAAGAGGUAACUAUUUCCUCCGACUCAGCCCCUUUGCCAAGACAGAAACUUCGACUGGUAACCCAGAGUAAGGUUUUCACACCCUUUGGCUUAUUUAGACCCUCAUUUUCUUUUGAAAAAACAACAACAUGAGAGCCGCCGUCAGGCCCGGACUAAUGACGACGAUGAACUGCCUUCCGAUUUACAACAAACUCCUCAAAAACGCCAGAAUGAGGAGGUUUCUCGCUCUUCUAGCGACUCGUCGCAAACUCAAUUUCCGGCUUUCAAGACUGCCCCUGGCGGUCAAGCAAAGUCCAAGAAAGCCAAGGUGAUUAAACCAGCAGAAGACCCAAAAAAUCCUGCACCUGAACCGGCAACAUCAACUCCUCCCACUCAAUCUUAAGCGCCAGAAGACUCGGCUGUCCAUGCUCAAUUGGACCCUCCUGAGCCGUCAGCUGACGAAACCAUUGUCGAUCCAUCCACCGUCAGGCUGCCCGGUUCAGCUAACCCGCCAGCGUCUCCUGACCAUGACGUUCUGAUCACUGGCAGCAGAUUCAUUGAGCCGGGUAAUCCAAUAGUGCUGGCUAGGAACUCUGCCAAACAAGAGGCCUUGGAAAGGCAGAAAGUACGGUUUGAUGUCUCUCACUACGCUCACCUGAACGUUAGUGACGUGUUGUCCGACUA
Molecule: RNA transcript, 5332 nt
Organism: Triticum aestivum (bread wheat)
Lineage: Eukaryota; Viridiplantae; Streptophyta; Magnoliopsida; Poales; Poaceae
Exons: 12
Source: RefSeq, a predicted model, not a curated record